GAUCACUGAAUCAUCAAUUGCUCCUCCUUUCUCAUUUGUGAAGACAGUUAGGGUCCCAGUUCCUGGUGCAAGCUCAGCAACAUCAGCAAUAACAAGCUUCUCAAGAAAAGGAACACAGUCCUUUCCUAUGAGGCUCAGCCCGCACAUGUGGGAGACAUCAAAGAGGCCACCAUGUUCUCUACAAUUUAUAGUAGAAUCCAUGAUCGAGUCCUUAUACUGAAUGGGCAUACUCCAUCCAGCAAAUGGC
RNAcentral lists this unclassified non-coding RNA (247 nucleotides) under Hevea brasiliensis (rubber tree). Lineage: Eukaryota; Viridiplantae; Streptophyta; Magnoliopsida; Malpighiales; Euphorbiaceae. The record is from RNAcentral.